Molecule: ribosomal RNA, 520 nt
Filed under: uncultured Scutellospora
Lineage: Eukaryota; Fungi; Glomeromycota; Glomeromycetes; Diversisporales; Gigasporaceae
Description: SSU rRNA
Rfam family: Eukaryotic small subunit ribosomal RNA
Source: RNAcentral
AGCAGCCGCGGUAAUUCCAGCUCCAAUAGCGUAUAUUAAAGUUGUUGCAGUUAAAAAGCUCGUAGUUGAAUUUCGGGGUUCUACCGUUGGUCAGGCUUUGUCUGUGCUGGCGUGUAGAAUUUCUACCUUCUGGGGGAACCAUCAUGUUAUUAAUUUAGUGUGAUGGGAAACCAGGACCUUUACCUUGAAAAAAUUAGAGUGUUCAAAGCAGGCUUAUGUCUGAAUACAUUAGCAUGGAAUAAUAGAAUAGGACGGUGGUCCUGUUUUGUUGGUUUCUGAAUCACCGUAAUGAUUAAUAGGGAUAGUUGGGGGCAUUAGUAUUCAAUUGUCAGAGGUGAAAUUCUUGGAUUUAUUGAAGACUAACUUCUGCGAAAGCAUUUGCCAAGGAUGUUUUCAUUAAUCAAGAACGAAAGUUAGGGGAUCGAAGACGAUCAGAUACCGUCGUAGUCUUAACCAUAAACUAUGCCGACUAGGGAUCGGAUGAUGUUAAUUUUUAAUGUACUCAUUCGGCGCCUUACGG